UCUGCCUCUUCUUCGUCUCCAACGAUGCACUUCUGCUUAAACGUUUCUCAGGUUUUUCUUUUUCCCCAUUCUUGUUUCCUUUCAAGAUAGUGUUGUACAGUAUUAGCCAUAUUCUAUAUAGAUUCAAUUAGAGCAAACAUUCUUCUUUAGGAGGGAACAUUUGGUUUAUAAAAUCAACAAAUUUGAUCACGAAGAUUAUUAGUACUUAUUAUUAGUUUAGUGGGGGACAAAGCCACUAGAUUGUUAGAUUAAUUAACUGAGGGAACACUUCGAUUCGAAUCAAUUACAAAUGUUGAACGUUUCAUGUUCUUCUGCUAUGAAACAUAGAGACUCUACGUGUCGGUGUCACCGACGCUCAUGAUUACAUUGAAUUAUAUUAUUUUCUUAAAUUAUUAUCGGUGUCAUGUCAUCGUGUUAGUGUCGAGUUAAACAUGCUUCAUAAUUCUUCUGUACAUAAACAUAGGAUACACUAGUUUAACGCAAUUAGGAUAAUCAGUUUAUAGAUGGAAAUAUUUUUGGCUUAAUUACAUAUGUGGUCCUUUAUGUUUAUUUUACAUUUCAAUUUGGUCCCUUAAGUUUAAAAAGUUUCAAUUUAGUCCUUUUAGUCAAAUGUCAGUUUAAAUCAUUCAUGUAACUAACAAAUUUGCAUACGUGGACAACUUGGGAGGGUGUCAAAUGGAAGUUUUAGACGAAAUUAAGCUAAAGAUUUUGCACUGCCACUUAUUGAUAAUGAUUAGAAAACACUUAAUAUUACAAUACAUAGACAACCAAAGAAGGAUAAAAUAACCAAAGGCACACAAACUACUGAUAACACGAAACAAGAUUGUUUAGUUGCGCUUAACUGUGAUAGGACUCCUUACAAUGUGUUUUCCAUCUGUCCAUUGUAAAUUUCCAAAUUGAUAUUUCCUCCGUGGAGUUACAUUUGUUGCCUGCACAAUUACCUGAAAUGUCUUUUUUUCACCAAUUUUCUUGAAAGUCAAGGAAUUUGGUACAACGGCAAUUUUAUAUCCAGGCAAUUGGGCUUUUGCUACAUAUGUGCUUGGCGACCCAACAUUGGUGACUGUCCGAGUGACAUUUACGACAUUUAACUCAAGAUUCGGUAACGUGAUUGAAGGGUAGUUAAAGUCUUCUAUGCUGUGAGAUCCGGAACAAAUAAAUGUACCGUUGAAAUUAAGUGCUGAAAUGAGUUGUUGGUUGUAUCCAUAAGCACAUAGGAAAUUCAAGUAAUCCUUAAUGCCUAGAUCAUAAACAAGUCCAGGAUCUAUUGCAAGGUCAGGUUGAACAUGCCCUGAACCAUAAGCAAAGGGAGUUGCUAGUUUUUUUUCAAAUGCAUCCUGAAUUGGCCUGUUUGUGUUAUCUAGUGUGGUUGCUGUAAGGAUAUAUAAUUAAGUUAGAAAUCUUGUCGUUAUUAGAGAGUAUAUGUAUUGUGUGUGUACGUGUGUGUACCUGUGGUCAUGAUAGCCGAUUUAAUAGCUGCUGGACUCCAAUUAGGAUGCUUUGUUUUGAGAAGUCCUGCAAUGCCGGCCACAUGAGGGCAAGACAUAGAAGUUCCUUGCAUAACAUUGAAUGGAAAUCCUUUGCGAUUGUCUGUUACUAAGUUGGAUGCACUUGCAAACAAUGAAUAGGCAGCAAGUAUGUUCACACCUGGUGCAGUUACAUCAGGCUGAAACAGAAAACAAAUUAAAAACCCCAUUGAAAAAAAUAAAGACAAAUAAGGAGAAUUAUACUAUAGGUAGUUGAUCACUAGUCAACUUGUAUAUAUAUACCUUGAGUAUUGAUGGCUGAAUCUUAUUUGGUCCUCUAGAUGAGAAUGAAGCCAUUACUGGAGCUGGCUUUCUUCCGUAGAAUGUUUUUGCUCCUGAAAACUUUAUUGUAGUACCCGACUUUAAUUUAGAGUCCCUGCAAUUAUAAAUAUACUAUGUAAAUGGUUGGAGCCUUUCAUCUGUAACAUGUCAACAAAUGAGUAACUUUAAAAGACUAUGUGUGUUUGUUUGAGUGAGGAAGAGUAAGACAUAUAUAUAAUCAAUUACAUGGAAGUUAUGUCAAAAGCAGGAGCAUGUGACCCUGCACGUUCUGGUGCAGCAGGAGGGUGGUACUUGCUUUCAGUUUGUGGCCUUGUAACACAAGACAAAACAUGAGGCUCAGCAAGACUAGUUUUCCCUUGUUGUGGUCGAUUGCUCAAAAGCAUUCCCUUUGCACCUGCUGUUAAAGCUGCCUGACCCUCAGCAACUGAUUUUAUAUUUCCUUCUCGAUCACAUCCCACUAUUUUGCCCUUCACUUUUGAAGGAUCAAGUGUUCCAGGCCUACAAAGUCGUCUGCAACAACAAAUACAUAUAAAAAUAAUGUAAGAAAUCCUUAUUUAAUUAAUAAGUACGUUAUUUUAAAGUAGAUCAUUUGAGUUAGACUUGUACUUACGCAUCACGAUUUGUUGCAUUGGCAAGUUUACCAUCCGUAGCAAGAAUUAGAGAAAAUGCCUGGUUUGGUGGCAAGUUUACAAAAAGACUGGCUCCCUAUAAUACAAAAUAGAGAUCAGUUAUUACAAAUUUAAUCAACAUAUAAGUUAAUUAAAACAACAAUAAGAAGAAGAAUCAGAAACAGGAUGACAUAUACCGUCACUUGUUGACUGUUACCAAAAGUUAUAGUACUACUGAAGUCUCUGUCUAAUGUACUAGCAGCAAUUGUGAAUACCCAUGGAGCUAUAUUCACAACGCUUCCUAGGGUUGGUCCGUCAUUCCCCGCAGAGGCAACUACUAAUAUGUUUCUAGAAAGUGCAUGGAAUGCACCUAUUGAAACCUCGUCUGUGAAAAUAUCUUCAGGAUGGACAAGAUAUUGGCCAGCAGCUGAAAGUGAGAUUAUAUCUACACCAUCACUAAUGGCUUGGUCAAUAGCAGCUAACACAUCGGCUCCAAAGCAGUCAGCAACAUCUGUUAGAGACCAGCACACUUUGUAUGUGGCAACUCUAGCUCUAGGCGAACCUCCUUUUACAGUACCAUUGCCAAUAGCAAAUAUACUUGCACCUGGAACAAAGUUUCCACCAGCCGUUGAUAAGGUAUGAGUACCGUGACCUACAAAGUCACGUGCGGUAAGUAGUGAUGGGUGGAGCUUGCCAUUAUAUGCCUCGAAAGCGUUGCUGAAGAAUCUGGCUCCAAUUAGCUUCCUGUUUAUACAUAGCGAGAUUAAUUAACCUGAUAGAGGAAGUAUGGGAGAGUAGUUGCCUACCUAUCUUCUGUUGGUUUAGUUGCCACUGGUGUUACUAGAAAUAUAUAAGCUUGUUAGUUCUCUAUUAGCAUUAUAUAUAGAUGAUCUCAUUUGCCAUAUUUUAAUCAAUAAAUGUAAUAUCUAAGAAGUUUUUAUUUCUGUUGUGGUUUGCAUCAGGUGUAUAAUGUUGAUGCAAUAUUGUAAUGAUGGGUUUGCAUACCAAAACCCCAAUAUUAUCUGAACUUGUGCUGCACACCUUGUGCUUAUAUUGAUGUCAACAUGUCAAGAUUAUAUAGAAAAAUGUUGUAAACAAGAUCAGGAGAAAAGAACCUG
RNAcentral lists this long non-coding RNA (3531 nucleotides) under Trifolium pratense (red clover). RNAcentral's name for it is "long non-coding RNA (TPRA_LNC004329)". The record is from RNAcentral. Lineage: Eukaryota; Viridiplantae; Streptophyta; Magnoliopsida; Fabales; Fabaceae.